GGAAAGCUGGUACCCAUGGAGUCCAUAAUCAGUCGCCAGCUAGAGCAAAAGGAACCUAAUAAGCCAAGGCAGAACAUCAAACAAAAAUUCACUCCCUUGAAAUUAGCAUUUAAUACUAACCACACUCAUGUAAAUAAUAAAGUAUUACCACAGAAAAGAUCGUAUCCUGAUCAUGCCAAUGGUGAUGAUCUUGAGUAAUACCUCACGUGUUUUCAUCUAGGUUUGAUGGAUUUACCCUCCUAUUUUGGAAAUUAAUGGCGUCAUAUUAUUGUUAGCUGAAUCUGGCCGAACUUAACAACGUUUAAUUUUUAAAAUGCCACAUUUAAUCUUAUAAAAAAAAGAGACCAAUCUCUGUUUUGCUUUCAUAAAUGAUUUAGAGCAUGCUUGGGUAGAUGUUUAGCUUCUGUUGCACUUUUCGAGAUAAAAUGAAUGUGAUUUUCACAUUUUUCAAUAAAAAAAGAUGAAAUGAACUCUUGGGUUCCAUUAGAAAGGAAGUGUUUUUAGUUUAAUGUUUAGCAGGGGGGAGAAAAGGGGGUGGCCCCCAGCCACUGUAAACUAAUGCAGUGUGGAAACAGCGGAUGCCAAUAAGUUGGGAUAUAAUAGAAAAGUUGAAUAUUUUUAACCAACAGGAUUUUAAUAACUGAAGUUGUGAUAUAGAACUCUGGCCAGGGGAAGUUUAACUUCGAUAAAUAAAUUCACAAAAAGUCAAGUUCAGAAUUUGUAACUAUUCUCUCAAAAUGUCAUCUUUUUCUUUUGUGAUUUUCUAAAUUUGUAUAGUAGUAAGUGUAACAGUACAAGUGAUCCUGAAUGUAUAGCUAUUGUCUAUCAUAAGAUGAAUUUGUUAUCUACGCUUAAUUCUCUGUCUAAUGUCUGUUUAUUAUAUUUCUUUAGGUCAGAGAUUCAUGAAAAGAUGCGAUGCAGUCGGUGCCGAAUAAUUGAUGAGCCGCAAAGCUCUGACGUCCUAUCAACAAUAGUUAAUAGUGAAUCUGAUGAAGAAACCUCUGAUAUAGGUGGAUUUGCAGAAAUUGCAGGCUGUUUAGAGAAUUUAAAAGGAUCAGAGAAGCAGGUUGCAUUUGAAUAUUGUUGGAUAUAAAGUUUAUGCAUGCUACAUAGCUUUUGCAAAAAUUAUAGUUAAACUUCCCCAACCCCAAACUCAAUAUGCGUCCAAAACCUUCCACUCUUCACUCCUGCUCAUCUAUUACUUACAAGCUUUAAUGUCUACAUUACCUCUUCGAUUCAAGAGAAUAUACAAAUUUAUUAGUUCUAGCAUUGACUCUAUGGUACAUUUCCUCUCUGCAGAUUGGGACCCCACUGGAAGAAGAUUUAAGUAGUUGGGGCCAUCAUUUUUCCCCAACUUCUGUACCAGAUCCUAUCCUUCAGGCUUCAGCUGGUGAUGAGGUGUGCCAUAGCUUUUUUACAAAUAAAUCCUAUUUUACGCAUAGUUUGCAAAAUAUAUAUUGUGCUCCAUAGGUUCAUAGUUCAUACUGCUGGCAUUUUUGCCAUUCUUGUCCUAAGAAAGACACGUAAAGCCUAGAGUGCACAAGUUAUAAUCUGGUCCAUAUGGACCAGAGGGUAACUUUGUCUUUUCUCCUUUCCUUUACCCUUUUCAUCUCCCCUUUACCCUUUACGUCUUCCCUUUACCUUUCCCUUAGCAAAUUCCAGCAAAGGCUUCAUCUUGCCACAAUCAAAAAGCUCCACCGGUGAACGGGAAUUGAUGAAGUGCCAACAGUGAAGCUGUUUCUCGUUGGUAUCAAGAAUAAUAAAAGCCAAGAGGGAACAGCCAUUGUAGAUAGUAGUGUUGCUUUGAAGAAAAAGCUAUGCGCUAAACUUUUACUUUGCAUCCCAUUCUACUGAUGAUUCUGGGUUCUUAUAUGUUUACUACGAGCACCCCAAUCCACCUUCAAUCCCACAACAUCCCCCACCUUUUCAACCUUACCACCAAAAUUUCACCUAUUAUGUUGCAGAACCAUAGUACCCAGAAUCAAACCAUACCACCAUACCCAUCAAAACUCGUCAAAUUCUUCACCAUACCCACACAUCAACCAAUUCAGCAUUUUUGAAUGAGGGAAGUAAUAGUAAUCGCAGGAGAAAAAUAAGAAGCAAACAACAUUUUGUCAAUGGAAGAAGAAGAAUAAAGACAAACCCACUGGUUAUGGAGGUUGGUGGUUCAAACUCGAAUGGGGAUUUGCUGGAAAGGGAGAGGGAGGGGGAGAAUGAUUUGACACUUACAUUUUUACCCUUUUAGUUUUUAGUAAAUCCUAUCCGUUGAUCUAAAGAAUAUUCUAAGAUUCUCUAAUUUAAUGGUGUUUAGGGAUGGUGCAUCGGUGGACCAAAAUAUAAAUGGUUCACCUUAGUGGGCACCCGUAAAGCUUAAUGAAGUUUGAAGUAUGUGUGAUAUAUUAAGUGUGAACUUAACGUAAAUCCAGAUUGAGUCAACAUGACAAAGUCUUGCUUAGUUGCUUUCUCUGUGUGCAUGUUGGGAUGUGUGUUUGACUAUUUAUUAGAGCAUCUUUAUCCAUUCACAUUCACUAAAGUUUUUAUACUUUAUUUUAUAUCAUUCUUUACAAUUCCCUAUAGUGUCACAUCAUCUAAACCACUUUACUGACAUUUUACUCCAACCCAACAACUCUAAAAAAAACUUUAAUGAACCCCACGAUCAACAUUAUACUCGAUACUUUUUAACUUUAACAAUAUCAUAAUAUUAUGUUUUUUUGUCCUUUGUGCAUCAAUUUCUGAGACACUACUCCGAGAGUGUCUAUAGUACCACACCCAAAUUAGCUAAGAUGGAAGAACCGUUUAUUUCCAAUGGUAUGAGACACUAGUUGGAGAACCUCUUUGGUUUGAGACACUCCCAUUUGAGAUGCUCUUAUGUAGAUACAAACAGAAAACCGAACACACUUAAACCAAUGGUGGUCUUACAUCUAGAGAUGUGAGACUUUUGCAUGCCGUUGGACUUCAUGUAUGCCUUGUUUCUUGCUCAAAAUGUUGGAAGUUUUCCUUAUACUGGUACAUGUUCUAAUUCCAAGCAAUGGGAUGUUUUUUCCCGACAAGAUUAUUGCACACCAGUAUGAAAUGUUUUUUAUGUAACAGUAUGAAAUGUUAAUACCAGCAGAAUAUGGCAUUUAUUUACCCCGCAGUUAGCUUUGCUUGAGAAGUUAAACAUGUAAAAACCUAAAUACCCAUUAAGCCCAUGGUAAUGCAUGCAACACUUGAAGGAGCAGAAUUGAUAUGCUUCUCUGUGCUUUUCAGGUGACUUUUGUGUUUACAAACCAAGUUAACGGAAAGCUGGUACCCAUGGAGUCCAUAAUCAGUCGCCAGCUAGAGCAAAAGGAACCUAAUAAGCCAAGGCAGAACAUCAAACAAAAAUUCACUCCCUUGAAAUUAGCAUUUAAUACUAACCACACUCAUGUAAAUAAUAAAGUAUUACCACAGAAAAGAUCGUAUCCUGAUCAUGCCAAUGGUGAUGAUCUUGAGUAAUACCUCACGUGUUUUCAUCUAGGUUUGAUGGAUUUACCCUCCUAUUUUGGAAAUUAAUGGCGUCAUAUUAUUGUUAGCUGAAUCUGGCCG
Molecule: long non-coding RNA, 3567 nt
Filed under: Lotus japonicus
Lineage: Eukaryota; Viridiplantae; Streptophyta; Magnoliopsida; Fabales; Fabaceae
Description: long non-coding RNA (LJAP_LNC000958)
Source: RNAcentral